RNAcentral lists this ribosomal RNA (470 nucleotides) under Bacillus pumilus. Its description in RNAcentral is "bacterial SSU rRNA". It matches the Rfam family "Bacterial small subunit ribosomal RNA", at positions 97 to 555 of the family's 1533-position model. Lineage: Bacteria; Bacillati; Bacillota; Bacilli; Caryophanales; Bacillaceae. The record is from RNAcentral.
GGCGGGGGUGAGUAACACGUGGGUAACCUGCCUGUAAGACUGGGAUAACUCCGGGAAACCGGAGCUAAUACCGGAUAGUUCCUUGAACCGCAUGGUUCAAGGAUGAAAGACGGUUUCGGCUGUCACUUACAGAUGGACCCGCGGCGCAUUAGCUAGUUGGUGGGGUAAUGGCUCACCAAGGCGACGAUGCGUAGCCGACCUGAGAGGGUGAUCGGCCACACUGGGACUGAGACACGGCCCAGACUCCUACGGGAGGCAGCAGUAGGGAAUCUUCCGCAAUGGACGAAAGUCUGACGGAGCAACGCCGCGUGAGUGAUGAAGGUUUUCGGAUCGUAAAGCUCUGUUGUUAGGGAAGAACAAGUGCGAGAGUAACUGCUCGCACCUUGACGGUACCUAACCAGAAAGCCACGGCUAACUACGUGCCAGCAGCCGCGGUAAUACGUAGGUGGCAAGCGUUGUCCGGAAUUAUU